Molecule: ribosomal RNA, 503 nt
Filed under: uncultured bacterium
Lineage: Bacteria
Description: bacterial SSU rRNA
Rfam family: Bacterial small subunit ribosomal RNA
Source: RNAcentral
GAUCAUGGCUCAGAUUGAACGCUGGCGGCAGGCCUAACACAUGCAAGUCGAACGGUAACAGGAAGAAGCUUGCUUCUUUGCUGACGAGUGGCGGACGGGUGAGUAAUGUCUGGGAAACUGCCUGAUGGAGGGGGAUAACUACUGGAAACGGUAGCUAAUACCGCAUAACGUCGCAAGACCAAAAAGGGGGACCUUCGGGCCUCUUGCCAUCGGAUGUGCCCAGAUGGGAUUAGCUAGUAGGUGGGGUAACGGCUCACCUAGGCGACGAUCCCUAGCUGGUCUGAGAGGAUGACCAGCCACACUGGAACUGAGACACGGUCCAGACUCCUACGGGAGGCAGCAGUGGGGAAUAUUGCACAAUGGGCGCAAGCCUGAUGCAGCCAUGCCGCGUGUAUGAAGAAGGCCUUCGGGUUGUAAAGUACUUUCAGCGGGGAGGAAGGGAGUAAAGUUAAUACCUUUGCUCAUUGACGUUACCCGCAGAAGAAGCACCGGCUAACUCCGUG